CUGCUGCACCUGCCCAGCGUUAUGAACAGAACUUUAUUUUUUCCAACCUAAACCAAUCAUCCUGCAUUGGGAUGGAUGGAUUGAGGGAAAGAUCAUGGUACCAGAUCUGCAGGCAGCUGGGGACAGAAGUCUUCACUUGCAUGGGUGGUGAGAGCAGAACUGAGAAGGUGGGGUCAACUUUAAAGAUGGGCAUUUCCAAGGACACGGAGUAUUGAGCAUUGAGUCCACUGGGAGGACACCAAACGCCAGGCUCCAGAGAUCCAAAUUUGUAGAAUCGCAUGAAUCCCAAGAAAUCACAAGAGAUCUUAGAAGAAAAGGAUCCUUCAAGUGUGGUGAGUGCAGUAAGGGAUCUAGUAGGAAGUCACAUCUUGCUGUUUGCAGAGUAAAGACGUGUGAAGAAGCCCUGAAGAACAGCCACAAGUUCUCCCACAGCCGUGCACUGCUCCAGGGAAAACCCACACCUGCAGUGAGCGCAGGAACAUCACUGUGUGACGACGUGGCCGUCCGCUGCAGAGAAGGCCCAGGAGUGUGUGGAAAGCCUCCACAGAUGUAGCCCACAUGGAAGAGCCUAGCAGAUGAUGAGGCCCUUUCCUCCCACCACAGAGCACGUGUGAGAAUGGAGCGCAGGCACCUUCUCUCAGAAGGCCAUUGUUGUUGAUCAGGCGGUCCACUCUGGAGACUUUGGAAGCUGUCUAGGAUGUAAAGAAUGCAGGAAUGAUUUCAGAGAGGGAUCACACCUCACUGCACGCCAGAGAGUUCAGGCUCCAAUGAGCCAUAUAUGUGCAGGAGGUGUGGAAGAGCUUUUGUGUGUGUUAUACUGCAGAACUGGAGGGACGCCAUCAGUGUACCUGAGUGGCAAAGCCUUUAGGGAGAGCUCCCAAGUCCUGGCUCAUCAGUGCAUUCACACAAGGGGAAAAGCCUUUUACAGGUGGGGAGGCCUUCAGGGAUCAGCCUCACGUCAUUGUCAGAGUUUUCAUUUUGGGAAGAAGCCUUUACAUUUUUAUUUUUUGAGACAGUGUAACUCUGUCGACCAGGCUG
Homo sapiens (human) is the source of this 1038-nucleotide long non-coding RNA. RefSeq lists it as uncharacterized. NCBI's taxonomy places the organism in Eukaryota, Metazoa, Chordata, Mammalia, Primates, Hominidae. The transcript is spliced from 3 exons. The record is from RefSeq and is a predicted model, not a curated record.